This 298-nucleotide unclassified non-coding RNA is filed under the name plant metagenome. RNAcentral's name for it is "partial contains 5.8S ribosomal RNA, internal transcribed spacer 2, and large subunit ribosomal RNA". The stretch from base 1 to 105 matches the Rfam family "5.8S ribosomal RNA", at positions 50 to 154 of the family's 154-position model. The record is from RNAcentral.
GAAAUGCGAUAAGUAAUGUGAAUUGCAGAAUUCAGUGAAUCAUCGAAUCUUUGAACGCACAUUGCGCCCCCUGGUAUUCCGGGGGGCAUACCUGUUCGAGCGUCAUUUCACCACUCAAGCCUCGCUUGGUAUUGGGCAACGCGGUCCGCCGCGUGCCUCAAAUCGACCGGCUGGGUCUUCUGUCCCCUAAGCGUUGUGGAAACUAUUCGCUAAAGGGUGCUCGGGAGGCUACGCCGUAAAACAACCCCAUUUCUAAGGUUGACCUCGGAUCAGGUAGGGAUACCCGCUGAACUUAAGC